CAAAGUGGUUUUGCCACUCAAAGAAAAAUGAUGACCGAUGAACAAUAAUCUACUGAAAGAGAAAAGCGUGUUGUUGGAAAAAUAAAUCGUCGAUAAAACAUGACGGAUGAGGUGAAGUUUCUACAAAAUAGCCUAGGCGAAAUCAGUAUAGAGCUAGGCAGGCAGGCAACAAAACGUGGAAAACAGAAAUCAUGAAAGACUAAGAUGAGUAAGGUCCAGCUUUAAUGUACGGUCAAUUGGAGAAUGCUUAAUCUAAUCAUAGAUUGUAGAGGAAGAACAAGAAGGUGAACAUGAUGAGCAUCAUUGCGUAACAGGGGGUUUCAUCAAUCUGCAAGGAAUUUUUCCGACUUAAAGAGUUGAAGUUUUGAUGGUAUUGUAGUAUGUCAUACUUUUGCGUAAAAAGAAAAUACGUACGAAAAAGCUAGCGUUUGCCGACGUGCAACACACGUGCACUCUACUUGUACUUUUAAGAGAAUCAACUAAACAGUAAAAUUCAAUCUUAAUAAAAAGUAUAUCAAAGAUUUAUAUCUCAA
This is a long non-coding RNA of Papaver somniferum (opium poppy), 533 nucleotides long. RefSeq lists it as uncharacterized. The record is from RefSeq and is a predicted model, not a curated record. The transcript has 2 exons. NCBI's taxonomy places the organism in Eukaryota, Viridiplantae, Streptophyta, Magnoliopsida, Ranunculales, Papaveraceae.